RNAcentral lists this ribosomal RNA (465 nucleotides) under uncultured bacterium. Its description in RNAcentral is "partial 16S ribosomal RNA". It matches the Rfam family "Bacterial small subunit ribosomal RNA", at positions 339 to 795 of the family's 1533-position model. The record is from RNAcentral.
CUACGGGGGGCUGCAGUGAGGAAUUUUGCGCAAUGGGGGAAACCCUGACGCAGCAACGCCGCGUGAGUGAAGAAGGCCCUUGGGUCGUAAAGCUCUGUCAAUGGGGAAGAAGUUACUUGGUAUUAAUAGUGCCUUGUAUUGACGGUACCCAUGAAGGAAGCACCGGCUAACUCCGUGCCAGCAGCCGCGGUAAUACGGGGGGUGCAAGCGUUAUUCGGAAUUAUUGGGCGUAAAGGGCACGCAGGCGGUCCUGUCAGUCAGAUGUGAAAGCCCGGGGCUCAACCCCGGACGUGCAUUUGAAACAGCAGGACUUGAGUACGGGAGAGGAAAGGGGAAUUCCUGGUGUAGAGGUGAAAUUCGUAGAUAUCAGGAGGAACACCGGUGGCGAAGGCGCCUUUCUGGACCGAUACUGACGCUGAGGUGCGAAGGCGUGGGUAGCGAACGGGAUUAGAUACCCCCGUAGUC